RNAcentral lists this ribosomal RNA (684 nucleotides) under Bacillus sp. (in: firmicutes). RNAcentral's name for it is "bacterial SSU rRNA". It matches the Rfam family "Bacterial small subunit ribosomal RNA", at positions 53 to 718 of the family's 1533-position model. Lineage: Bacteria; Bacillati; Bacillota; Bacilli; Caryophanales; Bacillaceae. The record is from RNAcentral.
ACNUGCAGUCGAGCGAAUGGAUUAAGAGCUUGCUCUUAUGAAGUUAGCGGCGGACGGGUGAGUAACACGUGGGUAACCUGCCCAUAAGACUGGGAUAACUCCGGGAAACCGGGGCUAAUACCGGAUAACAUUUUGAACCGCAUGGUUCGAAAUUGAAAGGCGGCUUCGGCUGUCACUUAUGGAUGGACCCGCGUCGCAUUAGCUAGUUGGUGAGGUAACGGCUCACCAAGGCAACGAUGCGUAGCCGACCUGAGAGGGUGAUCGGCCACACUGGGACUGAGACACGNCNNAGACUNNUACGGGAGGCAGCAGUAGGGAAUCUUCCGCAAUGGACGAAAGUCUGACGGAGCAACGCCGCGUGAGUGAUGAAGGCUUUCGGGUCGUAAAACUCUGUUGUUAGGGAAGAACAAGUGCUAGUUGAAUAAGCUGGCACCUUGACGGUACCUAACCAGAAAGCCACGGCUAACUACGUGCCAGCAGCCGCGGUAAUACGUAGGUGGCAAGCGUUAUCCGGAAUUAUUGGGCGUAAAGCGCGCGCAGGUGGUUUCUUAAGUCUGAUGUGAAAGCCCACGGCUCAACCGUGGAGGGUCAUUGGAAACUGGGAGACUUGAGUGCAGAAGAGGAAAGUGGAAUUCCAUGUGUAGCGGUGAAAUGCGUAGAGAUAUGGAGGAACACCAGGNNCGA